Molecule: long non-coding RNA, 184 nt
Organism: Eurytemora carolleeae
Lineage: Eukaryota; Metazoa; Arthropoda; Copepoda; Calanoida; Temoridae
Exons: 2
Source: RefSeq, a predicted model, not a curated record
CUUUUUAUUGUUUAUUUUCAUUUCAGAAAAAUGACAUCAUUGGUAAAAUGUCUAAACAACAGAUAUUCUGAUGACGACGACGAUCAGGAUGAAGAAUUACAGUUUGUGGUUUUCGUUUCCUCAUCUCCAGAAGCAAAACAAGGACUUCUACCACAUAUUAUCACACUUAAUGAUUACCACAUAG